Molecule: long non-coding RNA, 895 nt
Filed under: Gossypium barbadense (sea-island cotton)
Lineage: Eukaryota; Viridiplantae; Streptophyta; Magnoliopsida; Malvales; Malvaceae
Description: long non-coding RNA (GBAR_LNC006955)
Source: RNAcentral
GUCCGGCCUAGGGGUUCUGUCGAGCCUCCAUCCCCAGUAUUCUCACGCGCUCACGCGCCACCACACACGGUGAUCGGAGGAUUAAAAAACCCUCAUUCUUUCAAGAAAAUUGCAGGUAACCUCUUCCUUUUUCAUAAUAUUAUCAGUUUUUUGCAAAAGAUCGAUUUGUAUACUCGUUGAAUAAAUAACAGAAAUAAAAAAAAACUCAAAUCACCUUUUUAAAAGAAACUUCUUGAACUUCUCUUUUAUGAAUAUGUGUAAGUAUCUUUUUAUUCUGUAAAAAAUCCCGUCCUCUGUACAGAUUUGAAGAAAGGCUUUAUAGCCCUAGGCUGUUAUGGUUUAGGAAAGAAAUCUUUGAUUUCUUUCCAUGUUUGCUUUGGUUUUUUGUCGUUGUUUCCUCUUUUGUUCGCAGGUAAACCGCGAGGAUCUCGCUCGAUCACUGAUGUCUGCGCGCUGAUGGAGCCAACGCCGGAUCGUAGCGCGAGGAGAUCUGACGAUUCUGGUGUGAUUUGCGCGUCGAUGGUGGCGCGAUGUAUGAUGGCAGAGUCGAGAAAUCACGGCGUGCUUGGUGGCGACGAUUGGGCCAUUGAAUCUAUGCGAGGUGAAACGUCGCGUCGCUUAGAGUGCCCGAAACUUCCAGAACUUUAUUGCGGUGCUGAGUUCUCAGGAAACCCUAGGGUUUCCUUGUUUGAUUUUACAACUUUGGGCCUUUUGGGCCCCAUGUAAACCUGGGUCAAGGUGUUGGGUUAUUUUUGGGGUGUAAAUGGGUUUUGGGUAGUAACGGGUCUGCUGGGUUUAAGCUAAAUGGGUCAAUAAAUUGUAAUGGGCUGUAAAUGAAAUUUGGGCUUUGUACAUGGACUAUAAUAAAUAAACAUUUAUUUAUUUUAUUUUUUUA